Molecule: ribosomal RNA, 687 nt
Filed under: Bacillus sp. BAB-5491
Lineage: Bacteria; Bacillati; Bacillota; Bacilli; Caryophanales; Bacillaceae
Description: bacterial SSU rRNA
Rfam family: Bacterial small subunit ribosomal RNA
Source: RNAcentral
AGCGGCGGACGGGUGAGUAACACGUGGGUAACCUGCCUGUAAGACUGGGAUAACUCCGGGAAACCGGAGCUAAUACCGGGAUAGUUCCUUGAACCGCAUGGUUCAAGGAUGAAAGACGGUUUCGGCUGUCACUUACAGAUGGACSCGCGGCGCAUUAGMUAGUUGGUGGGGUAAUGGCUCACCAAGGCGACGAUGCGUAGCCGACCUGAGAGGGUGAUCGGCCACACUGGGRSUGAGACACGGCCCAGACUCCUACGGGAGGCAGCAGUAGGGAAUCUUCCGCAAUGGACGAAAGUCUGACGGAGCAACGCCGCGUGAGUGAUGAAGGUUUUCGGAUCGUAAAGCUCUGUUGUUAGGGAAGAACAAGUGCGAGAGUAACUGCUCGCACCUUGACGGUACCUAACCAGAAAGCCACGGCUAACUACGUGCCAGCAGCCGCGGUAAUACGUAGGUGGCAAGCGUUGUCCGGAAUUAUUGGGCGUAAAGGGCUCGCAGGCGGUUUCUUAAGUCUGAUGUGAAAGCCCCCGGCUCAACCGGGGAGGGUCAUUGGAAACUGGGAAACUUGAGUGCAGAAGAGGAGAGUGGAAUUCCMCGUGUAGCGGUGAAAUGCGUAGAGAUGUGGAGGAACACCAGUGGCGAAGGCGACUCUCUGGUCUGUAACUGACGCUGAGGAGCGAAAGCGUGGGG